GUCGUAACAAGGUUUCCGUAGGUGAACCUGCGGAAGGAUCAUUAGUGAAUAUUAGGGUGCUCUUCUCUGCGGAAGCGAUUAGAGGCCUGACCUCCACUGUCCAACUCUGUGCACUGUAGCGAGUAUGUCAACCUUGGGGUUAUUCCCCCCGAGUCCUACUUGCAAACCUAUUUUAACACUAGUCGAAGAAUGUAAACCAAAUCAUAACAAAAAAAAACUUUCAACAACGGAUCUCUUGGCUCUCGCAUCGAUGAAGAACGCAGCGAAAUGUGAUAAGUAAUGUGAAUUGCAGAAUUCAGUGAAUCAUCGAAUCUUUGAACGCACCUUGCGCUCUCUGGUAUUCCGGAGAGCAUGCCUGUUUGAGUGUCAUGAACUCUUCAACCCACCAGUUUCUUGUUAGACUGCGUUGGUGUUUGGUUUCUGAACGUUGCCGGCUCUGUCAUGGAACCCUUGGCUCGUUUCGAAUGUAUUAGCAUCUCAAUUUCGAAAUUUGGAUUGACUCAGCGUAAUAGACUAUUCGCUGAGGACACCUUUCGGGUGGCCGAAUAUCAGAUAACGAUCGACGCUUACAGCACUCUAUCUAGUCAACUCUUUUAAGAUUAGACCUCAGAUCAGGCAGGAUUACCCGCUGAACUUAAGCAUAUCAAUAAGCGGAGGAAAAGAAACUAACAAGGAUUCCCCUAGUAACGGCGAGUGAAGCGGGAAGAGCUCAAAUUUGUAAUCUGGUACCUUCGGUGCCCGAGUUGUAAUCUCGAGAAGUGUUUUCCGCGCCGGACCGCAUACAAGUCUGUUGGAAUACAGCGUCAUAGUGGUGAGAACCCCGUACAUGAUGCGGAUGCCUGGUGCUCUGUGAUACACUUUCGAAGAGUCGAGUUGUUUGGGAAUGCAGCUCAAAUUGGGUGGUAAAUUCCAUCUAAAGCUAAAUAUUGGCGAGAGACCGAUAGCGAACAAGUACCGUGAGGGAAAGAUGAAAAGCACUUUGGGAAGAGAGUUAACAGUACGUGAAAUUGUUGGAAGGGAAACGCUUGAAGUCAGACUUGCUAUUUGGAGUUCGCUUCGAUUUGCAGGCCAGCAUCAGUUUUCGGGGGGUUGGAAAAGGGUAUUGAGAACGUGGCAGUCUCGGCUGUAUUAUAGCUCUUUACUGGAUUCGCCCUUGGGGACUGAGGGACGCAGUGCAUUUCUUGGUCUUCGGGCCUUUUGUACUUAGGAUGCUGGUGGAAUGGCUUUAAACGACC
RNAcentral lists this ribosomal RNA (1235 nucleotides) under uncultured fungus. RNAcentral describes it as "eukaryotic LSU rRNA". The stretch from base 602 to 1235 matches the Rfam family "Eukaryotic large subunit ribosomal RNA", at positions 1 to 649 of the family's 3401-position model. The record is from RNAcentral. Lineage: Eukaryota; Fungi.